This 184-nucleotide ribosomal RNA is filed under the name Acanthamoeba genotype T4. RNAcentral describes it as "partial 18S ribosomal RNA". It matches the Rfam family "Eukaryotic small subunit ribosomal RNA", at positions 822 to 1007 of the family's 1831-position model. Lineage: Eukaryota; Discosea; Longamoebia; Acanthamoebidae. The record is from RNAcentral.
CUCCUAUUUUCGGUUGGUUUUGGCAGCGCGAGGACUAGGGUAAUGAUUAAUAGGGAUAGUUGGGGGCAUUAAUAUUUAAUUGUCAGAGGUGAAAUUCUUGGAUUUAUGAAAGAUUAACUUCUGCGAAAGCAUCUGCCAAGGAUGUUUUCUUUAAUCAACCCCCCACGUUAAGGGACGAAGACGA